This 490-nucleotide ribosomal RNA is filed under the name uncultured bacterium. Its description in RNAcentral is "partial 16S ribosomal RNA". It matches the Rfam family "Bacterial small subunit ribosomal RNA", at positions 30 to 507 of the family's 1533-position model. The record is from RNAcentral.
AUUGAACGCUGGCGGCAGGCCUAACACAUGCAAGUCGAACGGUAACAGAAAGCAGCUUGCUGCUUUGCUGACGAGUGGCGGACGGGUGAGUAAUGUCUGGGAAACUGCCUGAUGGAGGGGGAUAACUACUGGAAACGGUAGCUAAUACCGCAUAACGUCGCAAGACCAAAGAGGGGGACCUUCGGGCCUCUUGCCAUCGGAUGUGCCCAGAUGGGAUUAGCUUGUUGGUGGGGUAACGGCUCACCAAGGCGACGAUCCCUAGCUGGUCUGAGAGGAUGACGAGCCACACUGGAACUGAGACACGGUCCAGACUCCUACGGGAGGCAGCAGUGGGGAAUAUUGCACAAUGGGCGCAAGCCUGAUGCAGCCAUGCCGCGUGUAUGAAGAAGGCCUUCGGGUUGUAAAGUACUUUCAGCGGGGAGGAAGGGAGUAAAGUUAAUACCUUUGCUCAUUGACGUUACCCGCAGAAGAAGCACCGGCUAACUCCGUG